UGGGGAAUUUUGGACAAUGGGGGCAACCCUGAUCCAGCAAUGCCGCGUGUGUGAAGAAGGCCUGCGGGUUGUAAAGCACUUUAGGUGGGGAGAAAAGGCUGUUUAUGAAUAAUGAAUGGCGAUGAUGUUACCCACAGAAUAAGCACCGGCUAACUCUGUGCCAGCAGCCGCGGUAAUACAGAGGGUGCGAGCGUUAAUCGGAAUUACUGGGCGUAAAGCGCAUGUAGGUGGGUUUGCAAGUUUGAUGUGAAAGCCCUGGGCUUAACCUGGGAAUGGCGUUGAAUACUGUGAGUCUAGAGUCGGACAGAGGGCAGUGGAAUUUCCGGUGUAGCGGUGAAAUGCGUAGAGAUCGGAAAGAACACCAGUGGCGAAGGCGGCUGCCUGGGUCCAGACUGACACUGAGGUGCGAAAGCGUGGGGAGCAAACAGG
This 429-nucleotide ribosomal RNA is filed under the name uncultured bacterium. RNAcentral's name for it is "bacterial SSU rRNA". It matches the Rfam family "Bacterial small subunit ribosomal RNA", at positions 355 to 776 of the family's 1533-position model. The record is from RNAcentral.